AGUGGCGCACGGGUGAGUAACGCGUGGGUAAUCUACCUUCGUCUGGGGGAUAACCUACCGAAAGGUGGGCUAAUACCGCAUGACGUGAUCGGGUUGCGACCUGAUCACCAAAGAUAGCCUCUCCCUGGAAGCUAUCGGGUGAAGAUGAGCCCGCGUUCCAUUAGCUAGUUGGUAGGGUAACGGCUUACCAAGGCGACGAUGGGUAGCUGGUCUGAGAGGAUGGCCAGCCACACUGGAACUGGAACACGGUCCAGACUCCUACGGGAGGCAGCAGUGAGGAAUCUUGCGCAAUGGGGGCAACCCUGACGCAGCAACGCCGCGUGAGUGAAGAAGGCCUUCGGGUCGUAAAGCUCUGUCAAGUGGGAAGAAUAGCCUUAGGGUUAAUAGCCUUAGGGUAUGACUGUACCACUGGAGGAAGCACCGGCUAACUCCGUGCCAGCAGCCGCGGUAAUACGGAGGGUGCAAGCGUUAUUCGGAAUUAUUGGGCGUAAAGGGCGUGUAGGCGGCCAGAUAAGUCAGAGGUGAAAGCCCGGGGCUCAACCCCGGAAGUGCCUUUGAUACUGUUUGGCUUGAGUGCGGGAGAGGAAAGCGGAAUUCCCAGUGUAGAGGUGAAAUUCGUAGAUAUUGGGAGGAACACCGGUGGCGAAGGCGGCUUUCUGGACCGACACUGACGCUGAGGCGCGAAAGCGUGGGGAGCAAA
This 700-nucleotide ribosomal RNA is filed under the name uncultured bacterium. RNAcentral's name for it is "bacterial SSU rRNA". It matches the Rfam family "Bacterial small subunit ribosomal RNA", at positions 94 to 772 of the family's 1533-position model. The record is from RNAcentral.